AACGCAAAUUGCACUCUCUGGUAUUCCGGAGAGUAUGCCUGUUUGAGGGUCUGUCUAAUUUAAGUCGAUGUGUUGCUUUUGUGAUACCUCGGAGAUGGGUCGUCUUAGGAUUCUAAGAGACCUAAAAUUGAUUUUUUUACGCAUUUUUAGACGUAUAAAAUAUUAUUUGUCUGAUAUGCCAGGAUUUUUUUACUAGGUAUGAUCAUUUUUUUAUAUGGUUUUCGUAUCUAUAAUAAUUUCGUUUUUUGACCUCAAAUCAGGUAAGAGUACCCGCUGAACUUAA
RNAcentral lists this unclassified non-coding RNA (283 nucleotides) under uncultured fungus. Its description in RNAcentral is "sequence contains ITS2". The stretch from base 1 to 52 matches the Rfam family "5.8S ribosomal RNA", at positions 103 to 154 of the family's 154-position model. The record is from RNAcentral. Lineage: Eukaryota; Fungi.